UACGUAGGGGGCAAGCGUUGUCCGGAAUCAUUGGGCGUAAAGAGCGUGUAGGCGGCUUGGUAAGUCCGCUGUGAAAGUCCAGGGCUCAACCCUGGAAAGCCAGUGGAAACUGCCAAGCUAGAGUCCGGAAGAGGCGAGUGGAACUCCUGGUGUAGCGGUGAAAUGCGCAGAUAUCAGGAAGAACACCAAUGGCGAAGGCAGCUCGCUGGGACGGUACUGACGCUGAGGCACGAAGGUCAGGGGAGCAAACGGG
Molecule: ribosomal RNA, 253 nt
Filed under: uncultured bacterium
Lineage: Bacteria
Description: partial 16S ribosomal RNA
Rfam family: Bacterial small subunit ribosomal RNA
Source: RNAcentral